GAUGAACGCUGGCGGCGUGCCUAAUACAUGCAAGUCGAGCGAACAGACGAGGAGCUUGCUCCUCUGACGUUAGCGGCGGACGGGUGAGUAACACGUGGAUAACCUACCUAUAAGACUGGGAUAACUUCGGGAAACCGGAGCUAAUACCGGAUAAUAUAUUGAACCGCAGGGUUCAAUAGUGAAAGACGGUUUUGCUGUCACUUAUAGAUGGAUCCGCGCCGCAUUAGCUAGUUGGUAAGGUAACAGCUUACCAAGGCAACGAUGCGUAGCCGACCUGAGAGGGUGAUCGGCCACACUGGAACUGAGACACGGUCCAGACUCCUACGGGAGGCAGCAGUAGGGAAUCUUCCGCAAAGGGCGAAAGCCUGACGGAGCAACGCCGCGUGAGUGAUGAAGGUCUUCGGAUCGUAAAACUCUGUUAUUAGGGAAGAACAAAUGUGUAAGUAACUAUGCACGUCUUGACGGUACCUAAUCAGAAAGCCACGGCUAACUACGUG
RNAcentral lists this ribosomal RNA (497 nucleotides) under uncultured bacterium. RNAcentral's name for it is "partial 16S ribosomal RNA". It matches the Rfam family "Bacterial small subunit ribosomal RNA", at positions 28 to 507 of the family's 1533-position model. The record is from RNAcentral.